AUAAAGUCUCUCACUGUUUCCAUUGUUUCCCCAUCUAUUUGCCAUGAAGUGAUGGGACCAGAUGCCAUGAUCUUCAUUUUCUGAAUGCUGAGUUUUAAGCCAACUUUUUCACUCACGUCUCACUUACAUUAAGAGGCUCUUUCAGCUCCUCUUCACUUUUCCUUC
Molecule: long non-coding RNA, 165 nt
Organism: Cervus elaphus (red deer)
Lineage: Eukaryota; Metazoa; Chordata; Mammalia; Artiodactyla; Cervidae
Exons: 3
Source: RefSeq, a predicted model, not a curated record